This 78-nucleotide transfer RNA is filed under the name Desulfurococcus amylolyticus. Its description in RNAcentral is "tRNA-Asp". It matches the Rfam family "tRNA". Rfam says of the family: Transfer RNA (tRNA) molecules are approximately 80 nucleotides in length. Their secondary structure includes four short double-helical elements and three loops (D, anti-codon, and T loops). RNAcentral also lists the same sequence under 3 other names. The record is from RNAcentral. Lineage: Archaea; Thermoproteati; Thermoproteota; Thermoprotei; Desulfurococcales; Desulfurococcaceae.
GCCCCGGUAGUCUAGUCUGGUCUAGGAUGCGGGCCUGUCGAGCCCGUGACCCGGGUUCAAAUCCCGGCCGGGGCGCCA